Molecule: ribosomal RNA, 253 nt
Filed under: uncultured bacterium
Lineage: Bacteria
Description: partial 16S ribosomal RNA
Rfam family: Bacterial small subunit ribosomal RNA
Source: RNAcentral
UACGAAGGGGGCUAGCGUUACUCGGAUUGACUGGGCGUAAAGGGCGCGUAGGCGGAUGGUACAGUCAGACGUGAAAUUCCUGGGCUCAACCUGGGGGCUGCGUUUGAUACGUGCUGUCUGGAGUUCGGAAGAGGGUCGUGGAAUUCCCAGUGUAGAGGUGAAAUUCGUAGAUAUUGGGAAGAACACCGGUGGCGAAGGCGGCCUGCUGGGCAGUUGCUGACACUGAGGCGCGACAGCGUGGGGAGCAAACAGG